RNAcentral lists this ribosomal RNA (451 nucleotides) under NC10 bacterium enrichment culture clone TH4-45. RNAcentral describes it as "bacterial SSU rRNA". It matches the Rfam family "Bacterial small subunit ribosomal RNA", at positions 977 to 1434 of the family's 1533-position model. The record is from RNAcentral. Lineage: Bacteria; Methylomirabilota (SeqCode).
GGGCUUGACAUCCCACGAACCUGAAAAGGGAGCGACCGCAAGGAGCCGUGACAGGUGCUGCAUGGCCGUCGUCAGCUCGUGUCGUGAGAUGUUGGGUUAAGUCCCGCAACGAGCGCAACCCUUGUCUGCUGUUGCCAUCAGGUAAAGCUGGGCACUCUGCGGAGACUGCCGGUGACAAACCGGAGGAAGGUGGGGAUGACGUCAAGUCCGCAUGGCCUUUAUGUCCAGGGCCACACACGUGCUACAAUGGCCGGUACAGAGGGAUGCAAGACCGCGAGGUGGAGCUAAACCCAAAAAGCCGGUCUAAGUUCAGAUUGGAGUCUGCAACUCGACUCCAUGAAGGAGGAAUCGCUAGUAAUCGCGUAUCAGCACGACGCGGUGAAUACGUUCCCGGGCCUUGUACACACCGCCCGUCACACCACGAAAGCCAGCUCUACUCGAAGUCGCUGAG